GGGGACUUGGUCUAGGGGUAUGAUACUCGCUUCGCACACUUCCACAGUGUAGCUUGUGAGGGGUCGGGGGUUCAAUUCCCCCAGUCUCCA
Molecule: transfer RNA, 90 nt
Filed under: Lachnellula subtilissima
Lineage: Eukaryota; Fungi; Ascomycota; Leotiomycetes; Helotiales; Lachnaceae
Rfam family: tRNA
About the family: Transfer RNA (tRNA) molecules are approximately 80 nucleotides in length.
Source: Rfam by way of RNAcentral